RNAcentral lists this ribosomal RNA (1423 nucleotides) under uncultured bacterium. RNAcentral describes it as "16S ribosomal RNA". It matches the Rfam family "Bacterial small subunit ribosomal RNA". The record is from RNAcentral.
AGGUGCUUGCACCUUUCAAGUGAGUGGCGAACGGGUGAGUAACACGUGGGCAACCUGCCUCAAGGCUGGGGAUAACAUUUGGAAACAGAUGCUAAUACCGAAUAAAACUUAGUGUCGCAUGACAUAAAGUUAAAAGGCGCUUCGGCGUCACCUAGAGAUGGAUCCGCGGUGCAUUAGUUAGUUGGUGGGGUAAAGGCCUACCAAGACAAUGAUGCAUAGCCGAGUUGAGAGACUGAUCGGCCACAUUGGGACUGAGACACGGCCCAAACUCCUACGGGAGGCUGCAGUAGGGAAUCUUCCACAAUGGGCGAAAGCCUGAUGGAGCAACGCCGCGUGUGUGAUGAAGGCUUUCGGGUCGUAAAGCACUGUUGUAUGGGAAGAACAGCUAGAAUAGGAAAUGAUUUUAGUUUGACGGUACCAUACCAGAAAGGGACGGCUAAAUACGUGCCAGCAGCCGCGGUAAUACGUAUGUCCCGAGCGUUAUCCGGAUUUAUUGGGCGUAAAGCGAGCGCAGACGGUUUAUUAAGUCUGAUGUGAAAGCCCGGAGCUCAACUCCGGAAUGGCAUUGGAAACUGGUUAACUUGAGUGCAGUAGAGGUAAGUGGAACUCCAUGUGUAGCGGUGGAAUGCGUAGAUAUAUGGAAGAACACCAGUGGCGAAGGCGGCUUACUGGACUGCAACUGACGUUGAGGCUCGAAAGUGUGGGUAGCAAACAGGAUUAGAUACCCUGGUAGUCCACGCCGUAAACGAUGAGUGCUAGAUGUAGGGAGCUAUAAGUUCUCUGUAUCGCAGCUAACGCAAUAAGCACUCCGCCUGGGGAGUACGACCGCAAGGUUGAAACUCAAAGGAAUUGACGGGGGCCCGCACAAGCGGUGGAGCAUGUGGUUUAAUUCGAAGCAACGCGAAGAACCUUACCAGGUCUUGACAUACUCGUGCUAUUCCUAGAGAUAGGAAGUUCCUUCGGGACACGGGAUACAGGUGGUGCAUGGUUGUCGUCAGCUCGUGUCGUGAGAUGUUGGGUUAAGUCCCGCAACGAGCGCAACCCCUAUUGUUAGUUGCCAUCAUUAAGUUGGGCACUCUAACGAGACUGCCGGUGAUAAACCGGAGGAAGGUGGGGAUGACGUCAAAUCAUCAUGCCCCUUAUGACCUGGGCUACACACGUGCUACAAUGGAUGGUACAACGAGUCGCGAGACAGUGAUGUUUAGCUAAUCUCUUAAAACCAUUCUCAGUUCGGAUUGUAGGCUGCAACUCGCCUACAUGAAGUCGGAAUCGCUAGUAAUCGCGGAUCAGCACGCCGCGGUGAAUACGUUCCCGGGCCUUGUACACACCGCCCGUCACACCACGGGAGUUGGGAGUACCCGAAGUAGGUUGCCUAACCGCAAGGAGGGCGCUUCCUAAGGUAAGACCGAUGACUGGGGUGAAG